RNAcentral lists this ribosomal RNA (304 nucleotides) under uncultured bacterium. RNAcentral's name for it is "partial 16S ribosomal RNA". It matches the Rfam family "Bacterial small subunit ribosomal RNA", at positions 506 to 807 of the family's 1533-position model. The record is from RNAcentral.
CAGCAGCCGCCGCGGUAAUACGGAGGGUGCAAGCGUUAAUCGGAAUUACUGGGCGUAAAGCGCACGCAGGCGGUCUGACAAGUCAGAUGUGAAAUCCCCGGGCUUAACCUGGGAACUGCAUUUGAAACUGUCAGGCUGGAGUCUUGUAGAGGGGGGUAGAAUUCCAGGUGUAGCGGUGAAAUGCGUAGAGAUCUGGAGGAAUACCGGUGGCGAAGGCGGCCCCCUGGACAAAGACUGACGCUCAGGUGCGAAAGCGUGGGGAGCAAACAGGAUUAGAUACCCCAGUAGUCCCUGUCUCUUAUAC